This 506-nucleotide ribosomal RNA is filed under the name uncultured Spirochaetales bacterium. Its description in RNAcentral is "partial 16S ribosomal RNA". Lineage: Bacteria; Pseudomonadati; Spirochaetota; Spirochaetia; Spirochaetales. The record is from RNAcentral.
CACGUAAUUAGCCGGGGCUUAUUCACAUAACUACCGUCAUCAUGUAGGCAUUCCCUCCUACACUUAUCCUUUGUCUGCAAAAGAACUUUACAACCUUCCGGCCUUCAUCAUUCACGCGGUGUCGCUCCGUCAGACUUUCGUCCAUUGCGGAAGAUUCUCAGCUGCUGCCUCCCGUAGGAGUUUGGGCCGUAUCUCAGUCCCAAUGUGUCCGUUCACCCUCUCAGGUCGGAUACCCCAUCAUCGCCUUGGUAAGCCUUUACCUUGCCAACUAGCUAAUGGGACGCAGGCUCAUCUUUAAGCGAGGCAUUCGCCCCUUUCCUUAUCAAAUCAUAAUUCAAUAAGCACAUUCGGUAUUAUCUCUUAUUUCUAAAAGCUAUCCCCAUCUUAAAGGUAGAUCACCCACGCGUUACUCACCAGUCCGCCACUCUAGGAAAGUGCAAGCACCUUCUUGCCGUUCGACUUGCAUGCUUAAAACGCAACCGCCAGCGUUCGUCUGAGCCAGGAAC